GUCUCGUGCAAGUGUUUGGGUCUCGGGACAUGGUGUAUUCUAUCUACCAGCAACAUGUCUGCAGGAAUUUCUGGAGCAUAUGCGUGGAGCAGGCUUCUCGUGUACGCAGGUAAGUCGGCAGAUUGAAUGCUCUCAGGAACCCCCCGAAGCCUCAGAUUGUUUCUGUGGGCUCAGUCUUCGUUGUCCAUGAGUUUAGGUUGCAUGAUAGGG
Non-coding RNA from Pelobates cultripes (western spadefoot toad), 210 nucleotides. The record is from the annotation of a GenBank genome assembly. Lineage: Eukaryota; Metazoa; Chordata; Amphibia; Anura; Pelobatidae.